CAGUCUUCUGGAAGGAUGUCAAAACCGUUGCUUAUGAUUGCUAGUAACAUACGUAUACUUGAAUCAGUGAGGCAACAGUAUAAAAAAACUCAUGACUUGUUGUCUUCUCAGUAUUCUUAUGAGCUUCUUCUGGAAUUUCUGCAUAAGUCUCAAUCUACCACUGUACUUGGUAUUAUCAAUGAGCAUAUCAACUUUCAAGUUUCUCCUGGACAGCCCAACUCAAUUUUUGAUGAUGCGGAGGCUGUUACAUUGACUGGAAGCAGCCAGGAUGCAGUCAGUCAGAUUAAUCAGAAGGAAAUACAUUGGGGGUUGCUGGAAGACUCUUUGGAAGAACGCUUGGAAAAGACUGGGGGUUGGCUUUCUGAUUCUGAAAAGGCAGAAGGAGAAACUAAAGAGUCGGAGUGGGAGGAAAAUAAGAAAAGAUCAGCAGAAGGAGGAAAGCAGGGCUCAUCAGUUAAAAAGCUGAAAAAAGACAAGGCAACGGGAGCAACAGGGAAAGCCACUCGUCCUGAGACAAACAUUGUAACUAUGGCACCAAGAGUCAAACCAGAGCUUCCUUUGCCUACAAUUUCAGUCGAGGUUGAGCAGUCUAUACUUGAUCACAGUAGAUUUUGUAAUAAGAAAACAGAGACAUAUCUUGUCAUGAAAAGAAUCUGGACUUGAGGCUGGAUCUGUGCACCAAAAGAACUGUAACUACUUUUACUGAUGAUGACUUGGAAAGCCUCAAAUUUUUGAUAAAUUCUGCUAGAUGUUAGGCACCCAAUAAAAGAGAGUUUGAACAAGUUCCCUCGAAGGACUAGUACACCAUCUGGGGUUCACAGUCAAGCACAACAAGCUAAAGAACAACUACAACAUCAGCAACAACAGCA
This is an RNA transcript of Humulus lupulus (European hop), 869 nucleotides long. It is a transcript of the gene named transcription initiation factor TFIID subunit 5-like, with no coding region annotated. The record is from RefSeq and is a predicted model, not a curated record. NCBI's taxonomy places the organism in Eukaryota, Viridiplantae, Streptophyta, Magnoliopsida, Rosales, Cannabaceae. The transcript has 8 exons.